UAACGGCCGCGGUACCCUAACCGUGCGAAGGUAGCAUAAUCACUUGUUCUUUAAAUAAGGACUAGUAUCAACGGCAUCACGAGGGUUACACUGUCUCCUUUCUCCAAUCAGUGAAACUGAUCUCUUCGUGAAGAAGCGAAGAUAUAACUAUUAGACGAGAAGACCCCAUGGAGCUUUAAGCUCAAUAACAAUUUUUAUAAAAAUAAUCCUUCAUGAUACACAAAUCCUGUUUAUUAGCUUUAGGUUGGGGUGACCGCGGAGUAUAACUUAACCUCCACAACGAAAAGGCAUAAAACCCUUAUCCAAGAGCCACUGCUCUAAGAAUCACCAAAUUGACGUAUAAUGAUCCGAUUUUCGAUCAACGGACUAAGUUACCCUGGGGAUAACAGCGCAAUCCAUUUUUAGAGCCCCUAUCGACAAA
RNAcentral lists this ribosomal RNA (421 nucleotides) under Amietia nutti. RNAcentral describes it as "partial 16S ribosomal RNA". It matches the Rfam family "Bacterial large subunit ribosomal RNA", at positions 1925 to 2512 of the family's 2925-position model. Lineage: Eukaryota; Metazoa; Chordata; Amphibia; Anura; Pyxicephalidae. The record is from RNAcentral.